This is a long non-coding RNA of Leopardus geoffroyi (Geoffroy's cat), 774 nucleotides long. RefSeq lists it as uncharacterized. The record is from RefSeq and is a predicted model, not a curated record. NCBI's taxonomy places the organism in Eukaryota, Metazoa, Chordata, Mammalia, Carnivora, Felidae. The transcript has 3 exons.
GGACCAAGUCACACGCAUGGGACUGUGUGCCCUCCGCCGCCCCACCGACACCCGGCCAGGCCUUCGUCAUCCUCCCCUGGACCUCUGGGCGCUCUCUCAGCUGGGGCGCCCAGGACGGCACUCCCUGACUUCUGAGCACAUCCGCAGAGCAGCUCUGCCGGCGUCCUGAAGGGCGGUCAGAGCGGACGGACGGGGACGGCUGCCCACCACACUUGCGGGCCUUUGCUGGCUCCCCUUCCUUCACCCUCGGCCUCUGCCACACCUCCAACCUUCUAGCUCCCGUCCCGAGAUCUCAGGUGUCAGUCGCCGGGAAGAUGUGACUAAUCCCCCCCACCCAACACCCAGCCCGUCUUCGCCCUGGAGCGGCCACUCAUCCCAGCUGCCAACGACGUGUUCCUGUGCGUGUGAGCGGCCGCGGGGGUCGGCAUCUGCUCUGUGACGACGGGCUCUCCGAGGCGGGCUGUCCGCUCUGCCCACCGCCUCGCCACCAGUGCCCACGCAGGAGACUCACACGGGAGUGUUUGUUGAUUGACUACACAAGAGGAUGCCCUAAACGGCACGUGUUCAUUCUGCCGAGUGGCUGAGAGAACCGAGCCUACGCGACCCGAAAUGUUAUGACAUCACGGCCACAUCCAGUUGAAAUGUAGAAACAAGGGAAUUAUCGGGGCACCGGGGGGGCUCAGGCGGUUAAGCAUCUGACUUCGGCUCAGGUCAAGACCUCACGGUUCAUGAGUUCAAGCCCCACAUCUGGCUGUGUGCUGACAGCUCGGAACC